This 211-nucleotide long non-coding RNA is filed under the name Capsicum annuum. RNAcentral's name for it is "long non-coding RNA (CANN_LNC001641)". Lineage: Eukaryota; Viridiplantae; Streptophyta; Magnoliopsida; Solanales; Solanaceae. The record is from RNAcentral.
AAAAUAGUGAGUCAACGCAAUCUCUAUGCGUCGCAUAGUCUAUCACAUUGACAGAUAAUUUUCCCCUCAGCUCAGUUUGAAUUCCAGUGAACCAACGUGGACUCUACACAGCACGUUGGCCAUCACGUUGAUGCCAACAACGCGAUGCGUCGGUCUGCGCAUCGAUAAUUUGUUUUUUAGCCAUUAAAAGUCAUGUCCUUAAGGAUAAUUG